RNAcentral lists this unclassified non-coding RNA (230 nucleotides) under Hevea brasiliensis (rubber tree). The record is from RNAcentral. Lineage: Eukaryota; Viridiplantae; Streptophyta; Magnoliopsida; Malpighiales; Euphorbiaceae.
GAAAAAUCUUCACCUUCUUCACCAGAUGCUGGAGGGUUUAACUCAUUAGAUGGAGAAGGUGUAUCAUUCCGCACUCUUGUUCUGCGAGGUGGAGACAUAUCGGAGUUCACCAUGCUAGAAUUUGCACGGUUUGGAGAGAGUGAAACCCAACCACUUCCAUCUUCACUUAUGGAAUUAUAUGGUCGCUUGGCUUUUAGUUCUUCAAGCCUCCUCAUUCUCUUAACCUCAAU